This 506-nucleotide ribosomal RNA is filed under the name uncultured bacterium. RNAcentral's name for it is "bacterial SSU rRNA". It matches the Rfam family "Bacterial small subunit ribosomal RNA", at positions 28 to 520 of the family's 1533-position model. The record is from RNAcentral.
GAUGAACGCUAGCUACAGGCUUAACACAUGCAAGUCGAGGGGAAACGAUAUUGGAAGCUUGCUUCCGAUAGGCGUCGACCGGCGCACGGGUGAGUAACGCGUAUCCAACCUGCCCAUCACUUGGGAAUAACCUUGCGAAAGUAAGACUAAUGCCCAAUGACAUUUAUAGAAGGCAUCUGAAAUGAAUUAAAGAUUUAUCGGUGAUGGAUGGGGAUGCGUCUGAUUAGCUUGUUGGCGGGGUAACGGCCCACCAAGGCGACGAUCAGUAGGGGUUCUGAGAGGAAGGUCCCCCACAUUGGAACUGAGACACGGUCCAAACUCCUACGGGAGGCAGCAGUGAGGAAUAUUGGUCAAUGGGCGAGAGCCUGAACCAGCCAAGUAGCGUGCAGGAAGACGGCCCUAUGGGUUGUAAACUGCUUUUAUAGGGGAAUAAAGUGAGCCACGUGUGGUUUUUUGCAUGUACCCUAUGAAUAAGGACCGGCUAAUUCCGUGCCAGCAGCCGACGG